This 437-nucleotide ribosomal RNA is filed under the name uncultured bacterium. RNAcentral's name for it is "bacterial SSU rRNA". It matches the Rfam family "Bacterial small subunit ribosomal RNA", at positions 954 to 1392 of the family's 1533-position model. The record is from RNAcentral.
GCUUAACGCGAAGAACCUUACCAAGGCUUGACAUAUACCUGAAAAGGCUGGAAACAGUCUCCCCGCAAGGCAGGUAUACAGGUGGUGCAUGGUUGUCGUCAGCUCGUGUCGUGAGAUGUUGGGUUAAGUCCCGCAACGAGCGCAACCCUCGUUCUAUGUUGCCAGCACGUAAUGGUGGGAACUCAUAGGAGACUGCCGGGGUCAACUCGGAGGAAGGUGGGGAUGACGUCAAAUCAUCAUGCCCCUUAUGUCUUGGGCUUCACGCAUGCUACAAUGGCCGGUACAAAGGGCUGCAAUACCGCAAGGUGGAGCGAAUCCCAAAAAGCCGGUCUCAGUUCGGAUUGAGGUCUGCAACUCGACCUCAUGAAGUCGGAGUCGCUAGUAAUCGCAGAUCAGCAACGCUGCGGCGAAUACGUUCCCGGGUCUUGUACACACCG